RNAcentral lists this non-coding RNA (90 nucleotides) under Pseudomonas costantinii. The record is from RNAcentral. Lineage: Bacteria; Pseudomonadati; Pseudomonadota; Gammaproteobacteria; Pseudomonadales; Pseudomonadaceae.
UGUUAUGGCAGUCGUGCGCGGGAGAUCUUCGGAUCUGCUGGGUUUAUCUUUUGUCCCGGUCUUGCACACCCGCGUACUGCUGCCACCCUA